This 471-nucleotide ribosomal RNA is filed under the name uncultured microorganism. RNAcentral's name for it is "bacterial SSU rRNA". It matches the Rfam family "Bacterial small subunit ribosomal RNA", at positions 9 to 524 of the family's 1533-position model. The record is from RNAcentral.
GAGUUUGAUCUUGGCUCAGGAUGAACGCUGGCGGCGUGCCUAAUACAUGCAAGUCGAGCGGAAACACUUCGGGUGUCGAGCGGCGGACGGCUGAGUAACACGUAGGAACGUACCCCAACUGAGGGACAAGCAUCGGGAAACGGGUGUCUAAUACCGCAUGUGCUCUAAGGAGUAAAAGCUUCGGCGGUUUUGGGAACGGCCUGCGCAUGAUUAGCUUGUUGGUAGAGGUAAUGGCUCACCAAGGCUUCGAUCAUUAGCUGGUCUGAGAGGAUGACCAGCCAGACUGGGACUGAGAACGGCCCAGACUCCUACGGGAGGCAGCAGUAGGGAAUUUUCCACAAUGGGCGAAAGCCUGAUGGAGCAACGCCGCGUGCAGGAUGAAUGCCUUCGGGUUGUAAACUGCUUUAUAUGUGAGAUUUUGACGGUACAUAUGAAUAGGAUGGCUAACUCCGUGCCAGCCGCCGCCGUAAC